UUUGACUUUUCCUGCGUGUCCCUUUCCUUCUCAAACCUGCUCUUCCUCCCCCUAUCUACCUUCCCUGGGAGGUGACCUCAUGGCCUGCAGCCAAUCUGAUGUUCCCAGGUUUACCUCCUCCACCAGCUCCCUCUGCUGCCAGAGCGGCCCUUUUCCAUGCUGAUGUGACCUUGACCUUCUACAGAAUCCUCUGACAUUCAAGGCCAGGCACAAAACCCCACCUGGGCUCUGAACACUCCACUGUGUGCAGGGCUCCCUGCAGGGACGUCAGCCUCCUGGUAUCUGCUGGCACCUGCCCUCCUGUCCUGCUCCACCUCCUGCCUGAGGGUGCUGCUGUGAGCAGGGUGCUGGAGAGGCCCUCGCGUCCAGCACAGGAAACUCGUUGUCCUCCUGUCUCCUGGUGCCAAGCCCCUGCACUCCCUCCUGCCUGGGGCUCUCUAUUUUAGAGCUGCUCUGGCCCAUUGCAUCUCCAGAUAAAAUCCCUGCUUCUCUUGGCUGGGCACAGGGAUCAGUCUCCUGGCUGAGCAAGUGUAGUUGGGAGCUUCCUGCCUCUUUCAUGAUGUCUUUUUGUGCUCAGUGUCCUGCCUCCCCUUUAGUGACACUUGGAGUCUCUAAUCCCGGAAUCUUCUAGGGUUUUUAGACGGCAGAUGAACUUAUUUAUCAUGGGCAUCCCUUGCACGGGGCGCUUAAGGCAAGUGUUCUCAGAUUUGCUAACUCCCUUGGUCUGACUUCAUUUUUCUUAUCUGUAAAAUAAUAGAAAUUUUACCUUAUUUUCAAUUCCAUUAAAAGAG
RNAcentral lists this long non-coding RNA (791 nucleotides) under Marmota monax (woodchuck). The record is from RNAcentral. Lineage: Eukaryota; Metazoa; Chordata; Mammalia; Rodentia; Sciuridae.